AUUCAGCUGAUGAGUCCCAAAAUAGAACGAAACGCACGCCUUGGAU
RNAcentral lists this non-coding RNA (46 nucleotides) under Schistosoma mattheei. The record is from RNAcentral. Lineage: Eukaryota; Metazoa; Platyhelminthes; Trematoda; Strigeidida; Schistosomatidae.